ACUCCUACGGGAGGCAGCAGUGGGGAAUUUUGGACAAUGGGGGAAACCCUGAUCCAGCAAUGCCGCGUGUGUGAAGAAGGCCUUCGGGUUGUAAAGCACUUUUGUCCGGAAAGAAAUCGCUGUGGUUAAUACCCGGGCGGAUGACGUACC
This 150-nucleotide ribosomal RNA is filed under the name uncultured bacterium. RNAcentral describes it as "partial 16S ribosomal RNA". It matches the Rfam family "Bacterial small subunit ribosomal RNA", at positions 335 to 479 of the family's 1533-position model. The record is from RNAcentral.